UUUAUUUUUAUUUUUUUUAUAAAUAUGAUAAUAUAUUUUAAAAUUUACAUGUAUUAAAUAAUUGUUUAAUAUGAUACUUCUAGACACUAUAAUUUCCUAGUUUAUAUGAAAUAAUUUUAUUUUAUCAUGUAAAAUAACAAUUGUAUCAUUUAUAUUUUUAUAAUAUAAUAUGUGCAUCCGCACAAAUGUAUAUAUUUUAUGGUUCAAAAUUUUAUGAUAAUGUAUGAUAAAAAAAAUUAUAUACUAUUUAAAUCUGGUGCUAUAUAUCUUAUACUCUUUAACAUUUAUCAUAUUUAAUUUACAUUGGGCUAUUACUUAUAUGAAAUUAUACGUAAAAUAAUAUAUUUAUAUAUUAAUUUAUAUUUUAUUUAAAUGAUUAUUUUAUGUGACUUUUCU
RNAcentral lists this long non-coding RNA (396 nucleotides) under Brassica rapa (field mustard). RNAcentral's name for it is "long non-coding RNA (BRAP_LNC002096)". The record is from RNAcentral. Lineage: Eukaryota; Viridiplantae; Streptophyta; Magnoliopsida; Brassicales; Brassicaceae.